Molecule: long non-coding RNA, 3584 nt
Filed under: Homo sapiens (human)
Lineage: Eukaryota; Metazoa; Chordata; Mammalia; Primates; Hominidae
Description: non-protein coding LINC01215:1
Source: RNAcentral
UCUUGAGUGGGUUUUAUGUGAAAGAAGAUGGACUUCCUUCAGGCCUACAAUAAAGUGACACUGACUUAAGAAAAACAAAAUAUCAUUUAUUUUUAUACACAAGAAGAUAUAAAAUUUCUACGAAUGAGCAGAUUUGGGUUUGAACAUUAAACUCCAUCAUUCACAUGCUGCAUUGUUCAGUAGCAUGUGUUUAAUUUUAUCAUAAAUUAUCAAGUACUUUAAAAAACAUGUAAAAUCCUGUUUUCUGACUUUUGUAAUUCAGAUAACAUUCUGGAAUGGGACACACACACACACAGACACACACUUAUAUCUCCCUAAAACCACUGCAUUAGUUAGGAUCUUCAGGGAACAGUCACCCAGAUAACCUAAAGUAAUAUAAGUUUAUUGUAAGAUCAUAUGUCUCAAACCGAGGUAGCCAUAUCUCAAGGGAUUACAUGGCAUUAGCCAAAAAUUAUGAGAAGUAACUGAAACAAAAAAUAUGCCAUGUCUCUCUAAAUUAUCCAUUUUAAAUGAAUACAACAUUUUUAAUAAAAAAUAAUACCAGUUCUCUUCCUGCCACCACUUGAAGAAGGACGUGUUUGCUUCCCCUUCUGCCGUGAUUCUAAGUUUCCUGAGGCCUCCCCAGCCAUGCUGAACUUGAUCAUGCCUGUAUGGCUACACCCCUCUCUGCCUUGUUGAGGCCUGAGUUAAUUCCUCUUUUUCUCAUCACUUCCAGUUUUUAAAAAUCUCUUCUGUUUCCAUGGUAAUUGUAUAUAUCAACAAGGACUUUGAACACUCUCCAUUUUCUUGGAUUUAUUGAAUCUGAUGUGGUUAAUAAUGCUUGGGAAAACUUCUCAAAAAAAACUCUCACAAACACAGCAAAUGCAUUGAUGGUGAACAGCACAGUUUUUGAGUUCAAAAGGCAGCAGUGUACAUUCCAUAUCAUCUGCUGUUACCAUGUAGUAUGUUCUCACAGGAGAGCUUGGGAUUUUAUCUGUGAAUAUCCAUAGGUUGAAAGUUGGUAAGCAAAAGAACAUCUGUAACUAACCUACUCUUUUUCUGCAGGUUUGCAGAGUUUAGCAAUGCACUGUGGCUAAGACAGCUAUAUAACCAACUGGAUGUAGUUCUUAGUGAUACCACACUCAGUCAUUUUCAGUUCUGCUUUCCUUUCGUUUUCCUUUUUUCCUUCUCAUUUUCUCUCUUUCUAUCAUACAUCAAGUUAAAGAAUGUCUUUAUAUGCUGCCAUAGACAAAUAUAUAUGAACCAGGUAGACCAAGAAACUAAGUAGUACACAAAGUGGCCAAACCCAGUAAAAGCCUAUAACUUCUACACGUUUUACACAUACACACACACACACCACACUCAUUUAAUUCCCUCAACACCUCUACUCUAUAAAAAUUUUAUGCCUCCCCUUUUUUUGGUUUAGUAAACAAAUUCAGGUAGGCUCAGUCAUUUGACCAAUGACAAACAACUAGAAUAUGGAGCAUGAAUUUGAAUUUGGGAGAUAAUUGGUACAAAGUAAAUAAAAAUCAAUAUUGUCAUUAUUGUCUACUUAGAUAACAAUGCAGUGUCUUCAUUCAUAAUGGAUUGCAGUUCCCCACUCAGGAAGAGGACAUUUUUUUUAAAACUACAUGAUACAACUGAGAGCUUGGAAGCUAUCCAUGCAUAAGUUUUAAAACCCAGCAGCUUCAUGGUUUCCUCCUUCUGUUGGCCUGGCCAGUGGACACAGUGGUCACGUUCCUGGCAUGGAGAUGUCAUUCAUGGUCUCUCAGACCCAAGUGUUACCAGUGAAGGGUGUCCAGGUUCUUGGCGCUUUGAACAAAGAAUUGGACAAAACUCACAAACAAAGCAAGAAAAGAAAGAAGCAACAAAAGCAGAGAUGUAUUGAAAAUGAAAACACACUCCACAGGGUGGGAGCAGGCCGAGCAAGCAGCUCAAGGGCCCAGUUACAGAACUUUCUGGGGUUUAAAUACCCUUUAGAAGUUUCCAUUGGUUACUUGGUGUACACCCUAUGUAUAUGAAGUAGUGGCCUGUGAUCAGUCUGAUUGGUUGGAAGGGACCAAUCAGAAUGCAAACGUCUGAUUAGUUGUGGAAAGUGACCAAUUAGAGGCUGAAGUGAAGUUACAAAGUAAUACUCCCACGCAAAUGAAGACUUGGCCCACAACCAACCUGAUUGGUUGUGAGAGGGGACCAAUCAGAGGGACUUUCAGUUUUUCACCUGCAAUGCAGAAAAAGGGUGGCAGGUGAGGGGUGUUGCAAAGGGAGUAGCCUCUGGUCCUUUUGUUACUUGGGCACUUGGGCGUGGAAAGUGGGGGUUUUCCUUUUGAUUUAGUUCUAGGAAGUCAGCGUGAAUUGGCCUUACAUUCCCUGCCUCCAGACCCUAUUCUCCUGCCUCACAAGUGCUCCUAGGAGCUGUACAUGCCUGUCUUUGUCCCCAUGUAGUCAGCUCGUUACAGGUGGGUCCUGCUGGGUCUUUCGUUCUUGCUUCUCUGCUUCAAGAUGGCUAAUAAGUCCUGGUCCAGUGAGUCCCCAGUGCAGACAUAGAGCAGAAGGGAAGUGGGUCCAGUUGCAUUUCCUGCAGUUUAAUAAAGAACCCUGUGCUCUCUGGCCCAUUACCUAAAGCUGAUAUUGUGCUUGGAACGUGUAGUGUUAUCCAAUCCAGCUUUACCACUGCUAAAGCUGAUACCACGCUUUGAUCCUCUGCUUGCUCAUUUUGCCAAGUUCUUAACUGCGUGGAACUGGAAGGUGAGGGCUGGAUGAUUGAUUUUUCACCCUGCCCCCAAACUCCAACGGGGCUGGACCCCAAAAAUUCAUGCUCAAUGAAAUGAUUUUCACUUACUGAGAUGAAUUUACUUUUUGCUUCCUUCAGCAAUUCAUCAAUCUAAUGGAAGAAAGAGUAGCUAUCAUCAUAAUGAGAAUAGACUUCUACGAGUAUGAGUCAAUGUCAAUACUUUAUUUAAUAAUGCAAAUUCUAUUACUAUAUAUUUGGUCUCAAUCCAAAUUUGCUUUAAAUUGAGUUUCCUUGCCAUUGCACACUCCUAUCUUUCUGAACACACACCACCCCACACACACACCAUACACACUUGUUUCAUUGCGCUUCAUUUUAUUGCACUUCUCGAAGAAUGUGUUUUUUACAAAUUGAAGAUUUGUGGCAACUUUUCAUCGAGUGAGUCUAUUGGCAUCAUUUUUGCAAGAGCAUAUGCUCACUUCCUGCCUCUGUGACAGCAUUUUUUAGCAAUAACAUAUUUUUAAUGAAGGUAUGUACAUUGUUUUUUAGACAUAAUGCUAUUGCACACUUGACUAAAAUGUAGCCUAAGUAUAAUUUUUAUAUGCCAUGGGAAACUAAAAAAAGUGACUUACUUUAUUGUAAUAUUUGCUUUAUUACUUUGGUCUGGAACUGCCUCACACUAUCUCUGAAGUAUGCAUGUAUAGCUUUUCAUAACACAGAUAUCACAUUUGACCAGAUCCUAUUGUUACUGAACAAUGUUGAUGCUAACAUUGAUGAUAUCAAUCACUAUUACUGGAAUCAUUAUCAACAUAUCAAUAAAUAUUUUUAGAACAUUUCUGCCUCAGCCUCCAGAGUAGCUGGGAUUACAGGCGCAUGC